CUGAUCCAGCAACGCCGCGUGAGGGAUGACGGCCUUCGGGUUGUAAACCUCUUUCAGCAGGGACGAAGCUAACGUGACGGUACCUACAAAACAAGGACCGGCCAACUACAUGCCCCCAGCCGCGGUGAUACGUAGGGUGCUUGCGUUGAAUUGAUUGGCGGGAGGAAAGAGAUGCGGGCGGUCUGUCGCGUCUGAAGUGAAAAGGCUCGGCUCAACCCCGGGCCUGCUUACUGUACGGGCAGACUAGAGUGUAUGAGGGGAGAAUGGAAUUCCUGGUGUAGCGGUGAAAUGCGCAGAUAUCAAGAGGAACACCGGUGGCGAAGGCGGUUCUCUGGGCAUUACCUGACGCUCAGGAGCGAAAGCGUGGGGAGCGAACAGGAUUAGAUACCCUGGUAGUCCACACCGUAUACGUUGGGCGCUAGGUGUGGGGGUCAUUCCACGGGUUCCGUGCCGCAGCUAACGCAUUAAGCGCCCCGCCUGGGGAGUACGGCCGCAAGGCUAAAACUCAUAGGAAUUGACGG
This 521-nucleotide ribosomal RNA is filed under the name uncultured Actinomycetales bacterium. Its description in RNAcentral is "bacterial SSU rRNA". It matches the Rfam family "Bacterial small subunit ribosomal RNA", at positions 383 to 916 of the family's 1533-position model. Lineage: Bacteria; Bacillati; Actinomycetota; Actinomycetes; Actinomycetales. The record is from RNAcentral.